Molecule: small nucleolar RNA, 80 nt
Organism: Perognathus longimembris pacificus (Pacific pocket mouse)
Lineage: Eukaryota; Metazoa; Chordata; Mammalia; Rodentia; Heteromyidae
Source: RefSeq, a predicted model, not a curated record
UUGCUGUGAUGUGAAUCUCUCGCUGAACUAAACCGAAUCUUGAUGUGUCUAAAUUCAUGAGCUUUUUAACCCUGAGCAAU